Molecule: long non-coding RNA, 852 nt
Filed under: Ficedula albicollis (Collared flycatcher)
Lineage: Eukaryota; Metazoa; Chordata; Aves; Passeriformes; Muscicapidae
Description: lncRNA (ENSFALG00000027750.1)
Source: RNAcentral
UAGCACAUACCCAUAGAAAUUACAGUUAUAGCAGCAUGGGAAAUCUGUAGCCAGAAUGAUGUGUUUUAUUCAGCAGUUCCAGAUUUUCUGGUUAAGAGAACUCAGAAAAAAGUCAGCCUUAAAAAAUAUGAAGAGAGAUCAUGAAGUAACAAUUUUGUCAUUGUUUGCUGUACACUUUCUCUGGCUCCCCAGGUACUCAACGAGCAUCACAAGCUGGGUGACACCGAGCUCAGCACUGGCACGAUGUGGACAUGCACAAAACAUGCACAAAAAGGGAGCACAACAUCACUGCAGGCUAAACCUCCGUGGCCGUGGCACACACGUGGAGAGGCAUCUCCUCUCUGGGAAGAUCAAACCCUUGGAUGCAAGACAAUUUCCUUUUCAGAGGCCAAGUCCCCACUUGAGACUGCAGGACUUAUUUCCCCAGUAGGAAUUGGUGGAGGAUCAUCACUACAUUAAGGAUCAAUUUUAAAAGGGCAUGUUUAAACAUCACAUGUUCUGAAGUAUGUUGAAAGAAUUUAGAUCCCCCUUUCUUUAUGUCUAAAAAUAUGCAGUGACAUUUGAAAGAAGGAAGUAUGGUCCAAAUAUAGAUGUGGGAGAUUUCAGUAUUGUCAUCUUGUGCUGUUAAAAACUAUGAUGAAAUAACCAAACAUCCAUUAUUCCAUAUACAGAGAGCCAUUACCAGAAACUGAGCAAUUACAGAACACUGCAUAUUUUCCACACAUUCAGGGCAUGAUUUUGAUGUCGUUGUUCAUGUUUAACAGUGCUUCACUUCUUGAGUAGCUCCACUUAUGUCAGUAAUAGCAUUCAUGCAAUAUGAAUAAACAUGACCUAAAGUUGCAUUAUUUUUAA